RNAcentral lists this ribosomal RNA (440 nucleotides) under uncultured bacterium. Its description in RNAcentral is "bacterial SSU rRNA". It matches the Rfam family "Bacterial small subunit ribosomal RNA", at positions 338 to 795 of the family's 1533-position model. The record is from RNAcentral.
CCUACGGGACGCACCAGUGGGGAAUAUUGGACAAUGGGCGAAAGCCUGAUCCAGCAAUGCCGCGUGAGUGAAGAAGGUCUUCGGAUUGUAAAGCACUUUCGACGGGGACGAUGAUGACGGUACCCGUAGAAGAAGCCCCGGCUAACUUCAUGCCAGCAGCCGCGGUAAUACGAAGGGGGCUAGCGUUGCUCGGAAUGACUGGGCGUAAAGGACGCGUAGGCGGUUUAUGCAGUCAGAUGUGAAAUCCCCGGGCUUAACCUGGGAACUGCAUUUGAGACGCAUAGACUAGAGGUCGAGAGAGGGUUGUGGAAUUCCCAGUGUAGAGGUGAAAUUCGUAGAUGUUGGGAAGAACACCGGUGGCGAAGGCGGCAACCUGGCUCGAUACUGACGCUGAGGCGCGAAAGCGUGGGGAGCAAACAGGAUUAGAUACCCCGGUAGUC